AACGAACGCUGGCGGAAUGCUUUACACAUGCAAGUCGAACGGUAGAGGGGCAACCCUCGAGAGUGGCGAACGGGUGAGUAAUGUAUCGGAACAAGCCCAAUCGUGGGGGAUAACGUAGCGAAAGUUACGCUAAUACCGCAUACGAUCUACGGAUGAAAGCGGGGGAUCGCAAGACCUCGCGCGAUUGGAGUGGCCGAUAUCAGAUUAGGUGGUUGGCGGGGUAAAGGCCUACCAAGCCGACGAUCUGUAGCUGGUCUGAGAGGACGACCAGCCACACUGGGACUGAGACACGGCCCAGACUCCGACGGGAGGCAGCAGUGGGGAAUUUUGGACAAUGGGCGCAAGCCUGAUCCAGCCAUUCCGCGUGCAGGAAGAAGGCCUUCGGGUUGUAAACUGCUUUUGUACGGAACGAAACGCGCUGUGCUAAUACCACGGCGUAAUGACGGUACCGUAAGAAUAAGCACCGGCUAACUACGUGCCAGCCGCCGCAGUAA
Molecule: ribosomal RNA, 494 nt
Filed under: uncultured bacterium
Lineage: Bacteria
Description: partial 16S ribosomal RNA
Rfam family: Bacterial small subunit ribosomal RNA
Source: RNAcentral